This is a long non-coding RNA of Mya arenaria, 518 nucleotides long. RefSeq lists it as uncharacterized. NCBI's taxonomy places the organism in Eukaryota, Metazoa, Mollusca, Bivalvia, Myida, Myidae. The transcript is spliced from 2 exons. The record is from RefSeq and is a predicted model, not a curated record.
CGGCACAGUGCCCUUAGAAUAACCAAUGGUCGCGCAUGUUACAUACUGUCAGUCAUUUGCGCAUCCAACAUGGCUUCUCUAACAUUUUACGAAUGCUAGGCAGAGUCUAGAUUAUCAGUAGAUGUGCCUGCCCAUAUAAUCGAACAGACUACACCAGAACCAUUGGCAUCACAGGAGGUUGUCACCUUGUCCAACACUGAAAAAGUCUUUAGAGUUUUUGAGCAGGGAUUCCAGCAGGAUAUAAAAGACCUUGCCUCAGAAUUUUCACACGUGUCUGAUACUGAGAUAACACAGGAUUCUGUAAAUCGUGUGCUUGAAAGUCCUUACAUCAGGCUCUUGAAAUUGCGAUUUAACACUCUUCCUGACAAACAGGACUUUAACCCCGUUAUUGAUGAGGAGUGUUUUGAAUAUCCAGAUGAACUUUUGAAUUUUAACAGACUGAUGAUUUUCAUAAGAGACAUACAAUAAAGCCUUUAUUUAGAAGUAAGCUGCUAUUGAUGAAUAAAGCAAUGUUAUUA